GAGAGUAAAACAGUACGUGAAAUUGUUGAAAGGGAAACGCUUGAAGUCAGUCGUGCCGGCGUUGGAUUCAGCUUGCUUCGCGGAGCAGGCGCAUUUCCGCGCAUGGCAGGUCAGCGUCAGUUUUGCGCGGCGUGAAAAGGCUCGGGUAAGGUAGCUCUCUUCGGGGAGUGUUAUAGACCUGGGCAGAUGCGCUGCGCGGGACUGAGGAUUGCAGCGGACACCCCCUCGGGGGCGCGGCGACCGAACCCUGCUCGGCCACUCUCGUUCGAUAGCGUGCUAGCGGACGCGGGAGCGGCAGUGCACCGGAACAGGCAAGCCAGCGGUUCGCUAAGGAUGCUGACGUAAUGGCUUUAAACGA
Molecule: ribosomal RNA, 358 nt
Filed under: uncultured Archaeospora
Lineage: Eukaryota; Fungi; Glomeromycota; Glomeromycetes; Archaeosporales; Archaeosporaceae
Description: partial 28S ribosomal RNA
Source: RNAcentral